Molecule: ribosomal RNA, 1419 nt
Rfam family: Eukaryotic small subunit ribosomal RNA
CCAUAUGCUUGUCUCAAAGAUUAAGCCAUGCAGGUCUCAGUACGGCCUCCAGCGAAAAGGCGAAACCGCGAAUGGCUCAUUAAAUCAGUUAUGGUUCCUUAGAGACGUAUCCGCAACAGUGGAUAACCGUGGUAAUUCUAGAGCUAAUACAUGCAAACGAAGCUCCAGCCCCGCGCGGCGGAAGAGCCCCCCAACCGGGGUUCCACGCUGCCGGGGACGAGCGCUUUUAUUAGACCGCAACGACCGCAUCCUUCCUCCGUCCCUUCGCGGGGGCGGGGGACGUGUUGCGUGGUGACUCUGGAUAAACCUGGCAGAUCGGCCGGUGGCCCUCGUCCGCGGGGGCCGUCGCAAGCCGGCCGACGCAACUUUCAAGUGUCUGACUUAUCAACUUUCGACGGCGAGCUAAACGCCAGCCGUGGUGACGACGGGUGACGGGGAAUCAGGGUUCGAUUCCGGAGAGGAAGCCUGAGAAACGGCUACCACAUCCAAGGAAGGCAGCAGGCUCGCAAAUUACCCACUCCCGGCACGGGGAGGUAGUGACGAAAAAUAACGAUGCGGGACUCGGUCGAGACCCCGCCAUCGGAAUGAGUGGACUGUAAAAAGUUCGCACGAGGAACGACCGGAGGGCAAGUCUGGUGCCAGCCGCUGCGGUAAUUCCAGCUCCGGUAGCAUAUGCUAAAGUUGCUGCGGUUAAAAAGCUCGUAGUUGGAUCUCAGUCUCGGCCGUCCGGUCCCGCCCGCGUCGGCGGGACUCGUUGGCGCCUGCCGGUCAUAACUGUCGGCCGCCCGGGAUGAUCUUGACCGGUUGUCUCGGAACGGUCCGGCGAGUUUACCUUGAAAAAAUCGGAGUGCUCAGAGCGCGGCGUUAAAGAAGCCGCCCGUACGUCGUCGCAUGGAAUAAUGGAAGAAGACCUCGGUCCGAAUGUUUUUACUCAGCGGCUCGGACCCCUGAGGUAAUGGUCAACGGGAGCGGCCGGGGGCGAUCGUAUCGCGACGCUAGAGGUGAAAUUCUUGGACCGUCGCGAGACGAACUACAGCGAAAGCAUUCGUCAAGAGCGCUUCCGUUAAUCAAGAACGAAAGUCAGAGGUUCGAAGGCGAUCAGAUACCGCCCUAGUUUUGACCGUAAACGAUGCCGACCAGCGAUCGGGCUGCGCUCGCCACGACGAGGCGCCCGGAAGCUUACCGGGAAACCAGAGUGUCUGGGUUCCGGGGGAAGUAUGGUUGCAAAGCUGAAACUUAAAGGAAUUGACGGAAGGGCACCACCAGGAGUGGAGCCUGCGGCUUAAUUUGACUCAACACGGGAAAACUCACCCGGCCCGGACACGGGAAGGAUUGACAGACUGAACGAACUUUCUUGAUUCUGUGGGUGGUGGUGCAUGGCCGUUCUUAGUUGGUGGAGCGAUUUGUCUGGUUGAUUCC